ACCCUUCAAGACAUAUUUCAAGCAACUUUCUUACAAUGGCAUACUUGCCUUUCUGGGACAUGCCCAAAGCAUCUCAACCAAUUCUCUAUUGGCUAAAUGAUACUAAAUCUUCAACUACAUUUCUAAACAUUUGGCAAAUGUUCAAGUGGAACAUCAAUCUCAACUUAAAUGACACUAAAUCUUCAACUACAUUUGUAAACAUAUGGUAAAUAUUCAAGUGGUAGAUCAAACUCAACUCGUCAUAUUGUUAAGUAGAAAUUUCCGCAAGU
Molecule: long non-coding RNA, 269 nt
Filed under: Elaeis guineensis (African oil palm)
Lineage: Eukaryota; Viridiplantae; Streptophyta; Magnoliopsida; Arecales; Arecaceae
Description: long non-coding RNA (EGUI_LNC073403)
Source: RNAcentral